UUUCCGCAGGUGAACCUGCGGAGGGAUCAUUACAGAGUUCAUGCCCUACCGGGUAGAUCUCCCACCCUAUGUUAUUAUUACUUUGUUGCUUUGGCGGGCCGCUAGGCUCCGGCCCGACUACCGGCCCCGGCUGGUAAGCGCCCGCCAGAGGACCCAAAACCCUGAAUAUUAGUGUCGUCUGAGUACUAUAUAAUAGUUAAAACUUUCAACAACGGAUCUCUUGGUUCUG
RNAcentral lists this unclassified non-coding RNA (229 nucleotides) under plant metagenome. RNAcentral's name for it is "partial contains small subunit ribosomal RNA, internal transcribed spacer 1, and 5.8S ribosomal RNA". The record is from RNAcentral.